This 555-nucleotide ribosomal RNA is filed under the name Triticum aestivum (bread wheat). RNAcentral describes it as "partial small subunit ribosomal RNA". The record is from RNAcentral. Lineage: Eukaryota; Viridiplantae; Streptophyta; Magnoliopsida; Poales; Poaceae.
AUGGCGGCGUGCCCCGCCGCGACCACGGCUCGCGUGGGAGCAGCGCACGGAGGAGGCCUCUGGAGGAGAAGCGGGAGGAGCCCGAGCUUCCCCGCGCGCCCGGCCCGUGGCACGAGCACGGCAGCGCGCGCCUCGGAGCUGCAGCAGGCCCCCGCCCCCGCCGCCGCCGCCGCCGUCCCGACCCACAAGGUCACCGUCCACGACCGGGAGCGCGGGGUCGUCCACCACUUCCUCGUGCCCCAGGACCAGUACAUUCUGCACACCGCGGAGGCGCAGGACAUCACGCUCCCCUUCGCCUGCCGCCAUGGUUGCUGCACCAGCUGUGCUGUUAGGAUAAAAUCAGGGCAAAUAAGACAGCCUGAAGCUCUUGGAAUAUCCGCCGACUUAAGAGAGCAGGGCUAUGCUUUGUUAUGUGUUGGUUACCCAUCCUCUGAUCUUGAAGUUGAAACGCAAGAUGAAGAUGAGGUAUAUUGGCUCCAGUUUGGAAGAUACUUUGCGCGGGGGCCUGUUGACAGAGAUGAUUACGCGCUAGAGCUUGCAAUGGGAGACGAGUGA